GGGCCAACACAAGUGGUGGAGCAUGUUGUUUAAUGCGAAAAUACGCGCGAAACCUUACCAGUUCUUGACAGUGUGUUAAGUGACGAAAAAAUAGCUUUUUUUGUCCUCUUUAUAGUAAGAAUUUUCACACACAGGUGUUGCAUGGCUGUCGUCAGCUCGUGUUGUGAAAUGUUAGAUUAAUUUCUUAAACGAGCGCAACCCCUACUUUUAGUUGCCAGUGUUUGUUGUUCCAAACAGGAACUCUAAAAGAACUGCUAGUGGAUAAGCUAGAGGAAGGUGGGGAUAACGUCAAGUCCUCAUGGCCCUUAUGAACUGGGCUACAAACGUGCUACAAUGAAAACUACAAAAAGAAGCAAUAGUGUUUAAGCUGGAGCAAAUCUCUAAAAGUUUUCUUAGUUCGGAUUGUGGGCUGAAACUCGCCCACAUGAAGUUGGAAUCACUAGUAAUCG
RNAcentral lists this ribosomal RNA (449 nucleotides) under uncultured bacterium. RNAcentral's name for it is "bacterial SSU rRNA". It matches the Rfam family "Bacterial small subunit ribosomal RNA", at positions 917 to 1344 of the family's 1533-position model. The record is from RNAcentral.